This 274-nucleotide ribosomal RNA is filed under the name uncultured bacterium. Its description in RNAcentral is "partial 16S ribosomal RNA". It matches the Rfam family "Bacterial small subunit ribosomal RNA", at positions 523 to 796 of the family's 1533-position model. The record is from RNAcentral.
AUACGGAGGGCGCGAGCGUUGUUCGGAAUCACUGGGCGUAAAGCGGGUGUAGGCGGCCUGUCAAGUCAGAUGUGAAAGCCCACGGCUCAACCGUGGAAGUGCAUCUGAAACUGGCAGGCUUGAGUACCGGAGAGGGAAGUGGAAUUCCUGGUGUAGGGGUGAAAUCCGUAGAUAUCAGGAGGAACACCGGUGGCGAAGGCGACUUCCUGAACGGAUACUGACGCUGAGACCCGAAAGCGUGGGGAGCAAACAGGAUUAGAAACCCUAGUAGUCC